UUGGCCAGUGGCUCUGAAGACAUCAUCAUUAGGUGACCUGACUGAGUGGAGUGGGAGCACAAGCAGACAUGUUUCCAUGUGACCCCUCGAAGCAUGUAAAUGGAGGCGCUGUCACCCAGGAAGCGACCACUCCCAUCAGAUAAAACCGUUCCAUCGCAGGAUAAAGGAGUUGUAAAGUUGGCACCAUGAUGAUUUGGUCUCUCAACCCUCCCAAGCUUCUGAAGCUUGAAGUUUAAGAGCCGGGCCAUUUGAUUAACUGGAAUGGACACCGAAGUGAGGCUGGGCGUUUUAUGGAACAGUACAGACACAUACAUCCACCACGCUCGUCUCUGAUGAAGCCUUCUUUGGAGCCUACUAUUGGCAGCCCCCUAUAACCACUCAGGCAAAUUGGGUCAUUGUGUCUGGCGUUGUCACAUCACACUGCAGGAAGAAACACAACCAACAUAAUGACAUUGUGCAGUUACUGCUCAUGCUGUCUCCUGUCGGCAUUUGGAUAGGGACUAUUAAAUACACUACGUACUUACUAUUGGAGCAUUGGCAAGGCAAAGUUUAAAUUACCAACAUAAUUCUGUGGGCAUAAGCGUCUAAAGUCUAAUAUUAAAAUGUUUGUUCAGAUGAAAAAAGGCUUUGUUUUUUGAUAAACAUGUGCAGAACACUUUGGAGCCGGAGGAUUAAAAUUCUGUGCUGAUUUGUUUUCCCAGUAAGCUCCAUCCAUGUCUUCCUCUCAAAGUAUCAAAGCGCACGCUUCUUUGAAUUUGUUUGUUCCACAGUUACUCAAUGAUUGUAACCUUGGAAACAAGAUGCAUUAAUGAAGGUGGAAAAUGAAAUGGGACUUUAAUUUGUUUCAGUGUUCAUAGCUAGGUGAAAUGGAUUAGCUUUGAUUGAGGUGCGAGAUGAAGAAGGAAAGCGCUGACAUGACACUUGUAUUUGUCAUCAUGUCAUUUCAAGGAGGAUGCUGCAGCAAUUAUGAAUACGGGUACACAGCAAUUAAAAGCGGUAGUAUUCAUUAAUUAUUUUCAUAUUCAUUUUUCAGUGGCCGUUGAAAUGAUUGCCAC
Long non-coding RNA from Amphiprion ocellaris (clown anemonefish), 1055 nucleotides. Lineage: Eukaryota; Metazoa; Chordata; Actinopteri; Pomacentridae. The record is from Ensembl.